Molecule: ribosomal RNA, 252 nt
Filed under: uncultured archaeon
Lineage: Archaea
Description: partial 16S ribosomal RNA
Rfam family: Archaeal small subunit ribosomal RNA
Source: RNAcentral
UUCCGGUUGAUCCUGCCAGAGGUUACUGCUAUCGGUGUUCGCCUAAGCCAUGCGAGUCAUAUGUAGCAAUACAUGGCGUACUGCUCAGUAACACGUGGAUAACCUGCCCUUGGGUCCGGCAUAACCCCGGGAAACUGGGGAUAAUUCCGGAUAACGCACAAGUGCUGGAAUGCUUUAUGCGUAAAAUGGAUUCGUCUGCCCAAGGAUGGGUCUGCGGCCUAUCAGGUAGUAGUGGGUGUAAUGUACCUACUA